Molecule: long non-coding RNA, 195 nt
Organism: Telopea speciosissima
Lineage: Eukaryota; Viridiplantae; Streptophyta; Magnoliopsida; Proteales; Proteaceae
Exons: 2
Source: RefSeq, a predicted model, not a curated record
UAGAUAGAUGCCAGCUUGGUGAUGAAUUUAGGAAAAAGGGAAGCUUGAUUCUAUAGUGACUGAGAAUGGAGAGAAUUGGAGCAUGGGUAAAAGGCAACUAGUAUGUUUAGGGCGGGCAUUACUCAAGAGGAGCAAAGUGUUAGUUCUUGAUGAAGCUACUGCAUCAGUGGAUACUAUGACUGACUAUCUAAUUCA